AGAGUUUGAUCCUGGCUCAGGAUGAACGCUGGCGGCGUGCUUAACACAUGCAAGUCGAACGAGAAUCCGGGGAAGGAGGCUUCGGCCAACGGAACUGGAGGAAAGUGGCGGACGGGUGAGUAACGCGUGAGUAACCUGCCUUGGAGAGGGGAAUAACACAUCGAAAGAUGUGCUAAUACCGCAUGAAAUGUCUGAAUCGCAUGGUUCUGGACAUCAAAGAUUUAUCGCUCUGAGAUGGACUCGCGUCUGAUUAGCUGGUUGGCGGGGUAACGGCCCACCAAGGCGACGAUCAGUAGCCGGACUGAGAGGUUGGCCGGCCACAUUGGGACUGAGACACGGCCCAGACUCCUACGGGAGGCAGCAGUGGGGAAUAUUGGGCAAUGGGCGCAAGCCUGACCCAGCAACGCCGCGUGAAGGAAGAAGGCCCUCGGGUUGUAAACUUCUUUUCUAUAGGACGAAGAAGUGACGGUACUAUAGGAAUAAGCCACGGCUAACUACGUG
This 501-nucleotide ribosomal RNA is filed under the name uncultured Oscillospiraceae bacterium. Its description in RNAcentral is "bacterial SSU rRNA". It matches the Rfam family "Bacterial small subunit ribosomal RNA", at positions 8 to 507 of the family's 1533-position model. The record is from RNAcentral. Lineage: Bacteria; Bacillati; Bacillota; Clostridia; Eubacteriales; Oscillospiraceae.